Aotus nancymaae (Ma's night monkey) is the source of this 120-nucleotide non-coding RNA. NCBI's taxonomy places the organism in Eukaryota, Metazoa, Chordata, Mammalia, Primates, Aotidae. The record is from Ensembl.
UGGCAUGGUUUCCUGCAGGGCGAGCUCAGCCUACUCUACCAAGCCUAGAUUAGAAGGGCCUGGCAUCCUUUCCUUAAAUUAAGCAAGGAGCCUUACCCAGGUUGUCCUAGUCUCAUAUUU